This is a non-coding RNA of Acanthosepion pharaonis, 112 nucleotides long. The record is from the annotation of a GenBank genome assembly. Lineage: Eukaryota; Metazoa; Mollusca; Cephalopoda; Sepiida; Sepiidae.
AUGGCCAAAUCAUGUUGAAACACCAAUUCUCAUAUGAUCACCAAAGUUAAGAAACAUCUAGUCUGGUCAGUAUCUAGAUGGGUGACUGCUUGGGAAUACCAGGUGCUGUAAG